UACGUAGGGGGCAAGCGUUGUCCGGAAUCAUUGGGCGUAAAGCGCGUGUAGGCGGCCUGAUAAGUCCGUUCUGAAAGCCCGGGGCUCAACCCCGGGAGGCGGAUGGAUACUGUCAGGCUCGAGUCCGGAAGAGGCAAGUGGAAUUCCCGGUGUAGCGGUGAAAUGCGCAGAUAUCGGGAGGAACACCAAUGGCGAAGGCAGCUUGCUGGGACGGUACUGACGCUGAGACGCGAAAGCGUGGGGAGCAAACAGG
Molecule: ribosomal RNA, 253 nt
Filed under: uncultured bacterium
Lineage: Bacteria
Description: partial 16S ribosomal RNA
Rfam family: Bacterial small subunit ribosomal RNA
Source: RNAcentral